This 467-nucleotide ribosomal RNA is filed under the name uncultured bacterium. Its description in RNAcentral is "bacterial SSU rRNA". It matches the Rfam family "Bacterial small subunit ribosomal RNA", at positions 337 to 796 of the family's 1533-position model. The record is from RNAcentral.
UCCUACGGGGGGCUGCAGUAGGGAAUUUUCCACAAUGGACGAAAGUCUGAUGGAGCAACGCCGCGUGAACGAUGAAGGUCUUCGGAUUGUAAAGUUCUGUUGUCAGGGACGAACACGUACCGUUCGAACAGGGCGGUACCUUGACGGUACCUGACGAGAAAGCCACGGCUAACUACGUGCCAGCAGCCGCGGUAAUACGUAGGUGGCAAGCGUUGUCCGGAUUUAUUGGGCGUAAAGCGCGCGCAGGCGGCUAUGUAAGUCUGGUGUUAAAGCCCGGGGCUUAACCCCGGUUCGCAUCGGAAACUGUGUAGCUUGAGUGCAGAAGAGGAAAGCGGUAUUCCACGUGUAGCGGUGAAAUGCGUAGAGAUGUGGAGGAACACCAGUGGCGAAGGCGGCUUUCUGGUCUGUAACUGACGCUGAGGCGCGAAAGCGUGGGGAGCAAACAGGAUUAGAUACCCCUGUAGUCC